UAAAAGUCGUAACAAGGUUUCCGUAGGUGAACCUGCGGAAGGAUCAUUAGUGAAUAUAGGAUGUCCAACUUAACUUGGAGUCCGAACUCUCACUUUCUAACCCUGUGCAUUUGUUUGGGAUAGUAGCCUCUCGGGGUGAACUCCUAUUCACUUAUAAACACAAAGUCUAUGAAUGUAUUUAAUUUAUAACAAAAUAAAACUUUCAACAACGGAUCUCUUGGCUCUCGCAUCGAUGAAGAACGCAGCGAAAUGCGAUAAGUAAUGUGAAUUGCAGAAUUCAGUGAAUCAUCGAAUCUUUGAACGCACCUUGCGCUCCAUGGUAUUCCGUGGAGCAUGCCUGUUUGAGUGUCAUGAAUACUUCAACCCUCCUCUUUUCUAGUGAAAGAGAAGGUGCUUGGUUUCUGAGCGUUUUGCUGGCCUCACGGUCGAGCUCGCUCGUAAUGCAUUAGCAUCCGCAAUCGAACUUCGGAUUGACUUGGCGUAAUAGACUAUUCGCUGAGGAAUUCUAAUCUUCGGAUUAGAGCCGGGUUAGGUUAAAGGAAGCUUCUAAUCCUAAUGUCUAUAUUUUAAGAUUAGAUCUCAAAUCAGGUAGGACUACCCGCUGAACUUAAGCAUAUCA
Molecule: ribosomal RNA, 619 nt
Filed under: uncultured eukaryote
Lineage: Eukaryota
Description: eukaryotic LSU rRNA
Rfam family: 5.8S ribosomal RNA (bases 198-351)
Source: RNAcentral